GAUGAACGCUGGCUACAGGCUUAACACAUGCAAGUCGAGGGGAAACGACGGGGAAGCUUGCUUCCCCGGGCGUCGACCGGCGCGCGGGUGAGUAACGCGUAUCCAACCUGCCUCUGACUGAGGGAUAACCCGUCGAAAGUCGGCCUAAUACCUCAUGGUAUCGUCUGCGGGCAUCCAACGACGAUUAAAGAUUUCAUCGGUCAGGGAUGGGGAUGCGUCUGAUUAGCUUGUUGGCGGGGUAACGGCCCACCAAGGCUACGAUCAGUAGGGGUUCUGAGAGGAAGGUCCCCCACAUUGGAACUGAGACACGGUCCAAACUCCUACGGGAGGCAGCAGUGAGGAAUAUUGGUCAAUGGGCGAGAGCCUGAACCAGCCAAGUAGCGUGCAGGAAGACGGCCCUAUGGGUUGUAAACUGCUUUUAUGCGGGGAUAAAGUGAGGGACGUGUCCCUCAUUGCAGGUACCGCAUGAAUAAGGACCGGCUAAUUCCGUG
Molecule: ribosomal RNA, 491 nt
Filed under: uncultured bacterium
Lineage: Bacteria
Description: partial 16S ribosomal RNA
Rfam family: Bacterial small subunit ribosomal RNA
Source: RNAcentral